CCACUUGCACCGCCUACUCUCCAGCAGCAACUGUUGUCGCCGCCGCCUCACCGCGUGGGAACGGGAGCAAAACCCCGUGCUGACGAUGUACCUGGCGCGGUGGUGCAACCGUACCCGCACGGCCACCGCCGCGCGUCGUCGAGGCACGCGGCCCCGUCCCUGUCGUGCCGGUCCAUGGCCCCACCGUCGUCGUGCGCAGCAAGUACCAAUACCAUCCCCGUAAGGUGGAGUUCAGCUGCAAGAGCACGCUGGCGCCAUCUGCCCUACAUCAGAGCCCCUAGUGGCGGUAUGAGCCUCGCACUACCUCUCUGCCAUCAGGCCUUGCCGUGCAAGGUUCCUUUCUUACUUCCGCUAUUUCUGUCAAUAGUACUUCUCACAAGGCCUCAGUUCAACCACAACGCAUUCUCUAGGUGUUCCUAAUGAAGGGAAGAAUACAAAGUAGCUAGCAGUUACCUUUAUCUAACAAAUUUUUGCAAGUGAUAUAUCGACCGUUUGUGCACAACAGAAGAGCAAUAUUUAUUACAACUAAUAUAUUGCAUUCAGUCAAGCAGACAACUGAAGAUGCUAGAAAAUGUUACCUUGAAAAAAAUGAUCAUACCAUUACAAGCAAGUAUAUGGGGGUUUCCUCUCUGAACCUUAAGCUGUAACUCAAAUAUUUCUCGAUCUCAACUCCUAUCCUCAAGUCAUAAUAACUGAGACAUGAGUCGUUAAUUGGUUUAUUACUAGACCAUGCAUUGUUUGGAUGCAAGUAUGGAUUGUAGAUGUGUAACCAAAAACAGGAAAAAAUUAAAAAAUCCAAAACCAAGAUUCUGUCUAUCAGUGGAUAUUACCAAACAAAUGGCAUCGAACUGCUACAACAUACAACCUGCCUAAAGUUCUCCUAAGCAUACUUAGCGCUCCAUCUGUGCACUCCUAAGUAAAGGGUGAACAUUUCAGUUCUGGAACUCAGUUGCAUGCUCCGGUAAACCUCAUUCUUCAGUACAAAGAUUUCCAUGUCUAUUAUGUGAUGUUCUAAUUAUCAAUUGUUUGCUAUUUGAAAAUACUAGAAUUUGUUGUGCAAUCAUGUCUACAAAUAAUUUGAAAUUAUCCUGUGCUUUUUUCAAUUAACAGAAUUUUGAUUUUUUAGACUUCUUUUCUAGAUGCUAAGUUGAACAAUAUAGAGUAGUUUUUAGUGCUUGCCUAUGUGGUUAAUGAUACAAUAUAGGUUUUUCAAGCUCGUAUUUUGGAUGCAUGCUAUUGUUACUUUGUUAGUGUGUUCACAGAUUUUGUGUUCAGCUAUGCAAAUAACCACCUCAUAGCCUUAUGUCAUGUCACACCUGUUUUAGAGAAUCUGAAGAUAGCUUGCCUCACUUCACAGACAAGUAUUUUUUUAAGUUUCAUGUUUUACCCCAUUAAGUCAUUGUUUGUCUAAACCAUUGCUUAGAUGUUGUAUGUAUGUCUGUUGGAUAUCUCAAUUGUUAUGACUGGGGAUAAUGGAAUCACAACCAUAUGUACUCUCUCGAAACAUUCUGCAACUGUUUAACUAGGUGCUGGUGUCUUGCAAAAGCUAUGGUCUCUGUACAUAGAAGUCACUGAUGAUUCCUAUUUUCAGGUUGCUGCGGAGAAGUUUGUGAGUUUAUCUAUUCUGAUAAUGGAACUGUAACCAUGGUAUAUCAUGUGAAUAUUUAAAGGAACUGAUAGAGAGAUACAAUCAAUCUCAAAUGAACUUAAGGAUAAUAAGGGUCAACAUGAGAUAUGUUGUUCUAAAAUUGAAACAAUAAAGGGUAAAUGGCUUCCAACUCUGUGGAUUCAUUCGUAACUUUCAAGAAAUGGCAGUUGCUCACUACUAACAGCUUAUCUACAACCUAAUGAAAUUCGUUGGUAGUGUCCACUUCAUAUGUCAUAAGUUGAAGAGCAUAAAUAUUCUGAAAGCUCACGGUAAAAGCAUCAAGGAUAGUUACAUGCUAAAUGGCUAUGCACUAAAGACUAAACACAGGCCGUGCAGGUCAAGGAAUGCCUAUGAGAGUAACUCCUACUAGAAUUACUUCUCUUGAUUUUAACACUCAUAAGACAAAAAUGCAAACAGAUCCAAGGGAACUUGAUAAGAUUCGUCAGAGUUAUUUGUAUUCUAUGUUCCAAUACUUUAGAAUUUGUUUGCCUAUUUAUGGUAGAAUCAACACUAUAAAUACAUAAUAUUUAUAUCUUCCUUCAUGUUACUUGUUUCUAAUUCGUUCAGGCAAUAGUCCUCUGUCUUUUUAAAUUUUUUGGCUCUAAAUUCAUUGGUCCUAUUUUGA
Long non-coding RNA from Zea mays, 2273 nucleotides. RefSeq lists it as uncharacterized. Lineage: Eukaryota; Viridiplantae; Streptophyta; Magnoliopsida; Poales; Poaceae. The record is from RefSeq and is a predicted model, not a curated record. The transcript is spliced from 4 exons.